AUACGGAGGGUGCAAGCGUUACUCGGAAUCACUGGGCGUAAAGCGCGCGCAGGCGGUUUUUUAAGUUGGAUGUGAAAUCCUAUAGCUUAACUAUAGAACUGCAUCCAAAACUAUUAGACUAGAGUCUGGGAGAGGUAAGUGGAAUUAGUUGUGUAGGGGUAAAAUCCGUAGAGAUAACUAGGAAUACCAAAAGCGAAGGCAACUUACUGGAACAGUACUGACGCUGAGGCGCGAAAGCGUGGGGAGCAAACAGGAGUAGAUACCCCAGUAGUCC
This 274-nucleotide ribosomal RNA is filed under the name uncultured bacterium. Its description in RNAcentral is "partial 16S ribosomal RNA". It matches the Rfam family "Bacterial small subunit ribosomal RNA", at positions 523 to 796 of the family's 1533-position model. The record is from RNAcentral.